RNAcentral lists this ribosomal RNA (251 nucleotides) under uncultured bacterium. Its description in RNAcentral is "partial 16S ribosomal RNA". It matches the Rfam family "Bacterial small subunit ribosomal RNA", at positions 524 to 774 of the family's 1533-position model. The record is from RNAcentral.
UACGUAGGGGGCAAGCGUUAUCCGGAUUUACUGGGUGUAAAGGGAGCGUAGACGGCAGUGCAAGUCUGAAGUGAAAGCCCCGGGCUUAACCCGGGAACUGCUUUGGAAACUGUACGGCUGGAGUGCUGGAGAGGUAAGCGGAAUUCCUAGUGUAGCGGUGAAAUGCGUAGAUAUUAGGAGGAACACCAGUGGCGAAGGCGGCUUACUGGACAGUAACUGACGUUGAGGCUCGAAAGCGUGGGGAGCAAACA